Molecule: ribosomal RNA, 609 nt
Filed under: Falklandius sp. FAM1
Lineage: Eukaryota; Metazoa; Arthropoda; Insecta; Coleoptera; Curculionidae
Description: partial 16S ribosomal RNA
Rfam family: Bacterial large subunit ribosomal RNA
Source: RNAcentral
UUUAAGGUCUAGCCUGCCCAAUGAGAUUUUGAAUGGCCGCGGUAUUUUAACCGUGCAAAGGUAGCAUAAUCAUUAGUUUUUUAAUUAAAAGCUGGUAUGAAUGGUUGAAUGAAAAAAUAACUGUCUCUAUUUAAAUUUUUUAGAAUUUUAUUUUUAAGUAAAAAAGCUUAAAUUAUAUUAGAAGACGAGAAGACCCUGUAGAGUUUAAUUAAUUAUUAUGAUAGGAUUUUUAGUAUUCUUAUUUUUAUUAUUUAUAAUUAAUUUAGUUGGGGUGAUUUAAAAAUUUAAUAAACUUUUUUUAUAUUUAUACAUUAAUUUAUGAUUGCUUGAUCCUUAUUUUAAGAUUAAAAGAUAAAAUUACCUUAGGGAUAACAGCGUAAUUUUUUUAGAGAGUUCUAAUCGAAAAAAAAGAUUGCGACCUCGAUGUUGGAUUAAAAUAAAAAUUUGGUGUAGAAGCUAAAGUAUUUAGGUCUGUUCGACCUUUAAAAUUUUACAUGAUCUGAGUUUAAACCGGCGUAAGCCAGGUUGGUUUCUAUCUCUAUUUUAAAUAAAUAUUUUAGUACGAAAGGACCAAAUAUUAGGUUUAAAAUUUUAUAUUUGAAUAUAAUU